RNAcentral lists this ribosomal RNA (327 nucleotides) under uncultured bacterium. Its description in RNAcentral is "bacterial SSU rRNA". It matches the Rfam family "Bacterial small subunit ribosomal RNA", at positions 28 to 334 of the family's 1533-position model. The record is from RNAcentral.
GACGAACGCUGGCGGCGCGCCUAACACAUGCAAGUCGAACGGAGUUAUUUCAGCAGAAGCUUUCGGGUGGACGCAGGGAUAACUUAGUGGCGAACGGGUGAGUAACACGUGAGGAACCUGCCCUGGAGUGGGGGGAUAACAGUUGGAAACGACUGCUAAUACCGCAUAAGCGCACGGGACCGCAUGGUUUAGUGUGAAAAACUCCGGUAGGUGUGAGAUGGACCCGCGUUGGAUUAGCCAGUUGGCAGGGUAACGGCCUACCAAAGCGACGAUCCAUAGCCGGCCUGAGAGGGUGAACGGCCACAUUGGGACUGAGACACGGCCCAG